UUGAAGGAUUUAAAGACUGGGCUUUAUUUUUAACUCCUCUCCCAAUGGCAGGGACUCACUGGUGUGGACUUAGGAAGUCAACUGGAAGUUGGACUGGGCUGUGGAAACCCAGCGGAGUGAAACAGCCUGCAGUUGGGGAAGGACGAAGCUUGGAGGAAAUGCCUGCUGGCCUCUCCGAGUUCCACCCACCUGACUCUCCGGGCUGUGAGUCCCCAGAGGAUGCUGGCCAUGCUGAUCCACUGGGUGACCAAUGCCCCAGCACAAGCCUGGCCCAGGCUUCUUUGGGAGACAACAAAAGAUGGAAACAACCCAAAUGUCCAUUAACUGGAAAAUGGAUAAAAAAACUGCGCUCAACCACACAAUGGAAUACUAGUCCGCAAUAAAAAGUAGCAUGUUACUGAAACACACACCAACAUGGAUGGAUCUCAAAAACAUACCAAGGGAAUGAAGCUGGAGACAAAUCAUAUGAUUCCAAUGACGUGAAAGCCUGGAAAAAACUAAACUAUGGUGAUAGAAAGCAGAUCCGUGGUUACCAGAGGGGUAAGGGGGAUCCACUGUGUAGGGGCACAAGGGAACUUUCUGAGUUGAUCUAAAUGUUCUGUAUCUUGACUAUGCUGGUGGUUACACAGGUGUAGACGUUUGUCAAGACUGUGCACCUCGAGGGGGGUGGUGGUGUGAUGAAUUGGGCAAUUGGGAUUGACAUGUAUACACUGAUGUGUAUAAAAUUGAUGACUAAUAAGAACCUGCUGUAUAAAUAAAUAAAUUAAAUUAAAUUUUUAAAAAAAGGCUGUGCACUUAAAAUGUGUUUUAUUGCAUGGAAAUUAUCCCUCAAUAAAGUUGAUUUGAUAAAUGAAUAAUUUGUAAAUAAAUUUUUAAGGAAAAAAAAAACCCCUACCCAGUACAGUGUCCUGCAAAUAUCCAUCAGGAAAUCCUGUCCACUCUACUUUCCAAGUGAAUCUAGAAUCUCACCACGUCUCACCACCCCCAUUGCUGCUAGAUGGUAGUCUGAGCCACCAUUAUCUCCCUAACACACCUAUCAGAGGGGAUUCUGUUCAAAUAUAAUAAGCCAGAUCACGACACUGCUCUGCUCCUUCUUUCUCAGAAAAAAAGCUGAAGUCCUUAGCGACCCACAAGGCCCUACCUGAUCUCAUCCCCAUCACUCUAUCCUUACCUCCUCCCAUUCUCCCCUUUCCCUCACUUCACUCUAGCCACAGAGGCCUCCUUGCUGUUCUUCCCGCACACUAGCCAUGGUCCUGCCUCAGGGCCUUUGCAUUUGCUGUUUGCUCUGCCUAGAAUGUUCUUCCUCCAGAUAUCUGCAUGGCUCACUCCCUCACCAUCUUCAAGCCUUUACUCAAAUGUCAUCUCACUGAAGACUCCCUCACCACCCUAUUUAAAAUUAUAACCCCCACCCAAGGUUUUUUUUUAUCUCCCUUCUUUGCUUUUAUUUUCCUUCAUAGCAUAUCUAAUAUUACAUAUAUUUUGCUUUUUCUUUUGUUUAUUAACCAUCUCCCCUACUGGAAUGUAAGUUCCACAA
Molecule: long non-coding RNA, 1534 nt
Organism: Physeter macrocephalus (sperm whale)
Lineage: Eukaryota; Metazoa; Chordata; Mammalia; Artiodactyla; Physeteridae
Exons: 3
Source: RefSeq, a predicted model, not a curated record